This 529-nucleotide ribosomal RNA is filed under the name uncultured bacterium. Its description in RNAcentral is "bacterial SSU rRNA". It matches the Rfam family "Bacterial small subunit ribosomal RNA", at positions 777 to 1304 of the family's 1533-position model. The record is from RNAcentral.
AAUAGAUACCCCGGUAGUCCACGCCGUAAACGAUGAGUGCUAAGUGUUAGAGGGUUUCCGCCCUUUAGUGCUGCAGCUAACGCAUUAAGCACUCCGCCUGGGGAGUACGGCCGCAAGGCUGAAACUCAAAGGAAUUGACGGGGGCCCGCACAAGCGGUGGAGCAUGUGGUUUAAUUCGAAGCAACGCGAAGAACCUUACCAGGUCUUGACAUCCUCUGCCAACCCUAGAGAUAGGGCGUUCCCCUUCGGGGGACAGAGUGACAGGUGGUGCAUGGUUGUCGUCAGCUCGUGUCGUGAGAUGUUGGGUUAAGUCCCGCAACGAGCGCAACCCUUGAUCUUAGUUGCCAGCAUUCAGUUGGGCACUCUAAGGUGACUGCCGGUGACAAACCGGAGGAAGGUGGGGAUGACGUCAAAUCAUCAUGCCCCUUAUGACCUGGGCUACACACGUGCUACAAUGGAUGGUACAAAGAGCUGCGAACCCGCGAGGGUAAGCGAAUCUCAUAAGGCCAUUCUCAGUUCGGAUUGUAGG